RNAcentral lists this long non-coding RNA (208 nucleotides) under Elaeis guineensis (African oil palm). RNAcentral's name for it is "long non-coding RNA (EGUI_LNC009342)". Lineage: Eukaryota; Viridiplantae; Streptophyta; Magnoliopsida; Arecales; Arecaceae. The record is from RNAcentral.
UUUUCUGGACUUUUGAUGAUUGUCAAUGUAUUUUAACUCAAAAUAAUUAAUGCACACUGGAGCUUAGUAAGGAAAUAAUUUUUUUGCUUUAAAUUGAUGAAUUUGGUUUUACCUCAUAAUCUACUUUAUUUGCCACAAUAAAGCAGGUCUUUUAUUGGUUAGAUCUAAAUAUAAAGGAUUGGACAGCAUAACAAAGAAUGAAGCCAGA